Long non-coding RNA from Lactuca sativa (garden lettuce), 1548 nucleotides. RefSeq lists it as uncharacterized. The record is from RefSeq and is a predicted model, not a curated record. Lineage: Eukaryota; Viridiplantae; Streptophyta; Magnoliopsida; Asterales; Asteraceae.
CUGAACUUUCAUCGCGAAGACUAGUGAUUGAUAUAUGGUCGCUGAAAUAGUCGAAUCAAUUAUUUUAAAAAUACGUACAUUAACAUUAAAUUAGUGACGAAUCAACAAGUUUGAAAAUUAACAUUUUUAUGAAUUUAAAUUAUAUAAUUUAUAACUUAACAUUAAAUUUUCAUAAUAAUUUCCUUAAUAUAAAAGAUUAAAUAUCAACAUCCCAUCUAUUUAAAGUCUCUUUUACUCCUUUCUCCUCACCUCUAUCUUUCUCAUCAUUCUUUUUCCUCUAUAUAUAUUCCCCUAAACACAAAGCCAUCAUACAUGUCGAGAGUGCAUGCUUCUAGUUCUAGUCAUUAUCUAAAUAUGAGGAAUGGGAAUGGAAGCACGAGUUGUUGUUUUUGGGAUAGGGUAACUUGCAACGAGUACAUAGAUGGCCUAAUUAGCCUCGAAUGAAGCUAUGAUCUUGGAGGACCAUGAUUUGUGGUGAUCAAAAGAUCAAGAAAUGUUAAACAAGAGAGGUGAGAUUAGUGGGUAAACAGAAUAUACGUACGUCAUAUAUAACUAUGAAAGGGUCUUUCUUCUUUUUCGUAAGAGUGUGAUUUUAUGGAAGAUUGUAAAUACUAACUAUGAAGUUUGGUUGUAUGGAUGAUAUGAUACGUUUGAGCUUACCACAACUCAGGUCGAUACUGAUUGCAAUCUUAGUGGACUAGUUGCAAGUGACUCCAUCCCAUGAACAAUAAUUUGAAUUUGUGCCCCUGAUCAGUCAUAUUCGAUUAAUCUUACUACAUUAUUUGGAUCCAAAGUCUUGUUAAGAUUUAUGGAGUCAUGAACAAAUUGACAAGUUCCUAAGAGUUUAAGGACCAUAAAUGUAACUUAGCAAUGAAUUGAAUUAUUGGAAGAAUCGUCACUGUUACCAACUCCAUGUGCAGAAGUAAAUUUUGUUUCCGCCUCAACAAGCAACACGAAAUGCAUGUUAAAUUAUUUCAACUGUGCAUAUUUUCGAGGAGGAAAUUUUCUUUCUUUUGCAGACAAUUUACAAAGGUAAAAUAGUGGGUAUUCACUUUCACAUUAGAGUGAAUUAUUGUUACGGCUCACAAUAUAUAUAUACUGGCCGUUCCAAACAUAUUGUGGGCUUAGGGUGAAAAAAAAAAAUAGGCCCUUAAAAAAAUACAAAUGUCAUCAAGUUUUUUUAUAAUAAAUCAAUAAUUAAAAGAAAAUUAUUUGUACUAUCUUCUAAAUAUAACAAUUUCCAUAAAAAAUUUGGAUCCCUUUAAAAGAUGGACCUUCGACGGUCGCUCAUAUUGUUCACCCUCUGGGACGGGCCUGUAUAUAUAUAAAUAUGUGUGUUGUAAGUAGAAACAUUACAGAGCACAACACAACGAGCAUAGAUACACAGAAAAGAAAUAGUGAUGUUGUAUUUUUGUUGAGUCUUAUUUUCGGUAGUCAAAAAUACAAGUGGUGCCUUAUAGUGAGUGAUCAUAUUACAAGUGCAGUUUUAGCCUUAUAUUAUUGUAAUUUUCUUUAGUGCUAAAUAAAAUCUCCUCUCUCGUUCGCCCA